CAGUGAAAUUGAACUCGCUGUGAAGAUGCAGUGUACCCGCGGCAAGACGGAAAGACCCCGUGAACCUUUACUAUAGCUUGACACUGAACAUUGAGCCUUGAUGUGUAGGAUAGGUGGGAGGCUUAGAAGUGUGGACGCCAGUCUGCAUGGAGCCGACCUUGAAAUACCACCCUUUAAUGUUUGAUGUUCUAACGUUGACCCGUAAUCCGGGUUGCGGACAGUGUCUGGUGGGUAGUUUGACUGGGGCGGUCUCCUCCUAAAGAGUAACGGAGGAGCACGAAGGUUGGCUAAUCCUGGUCGGACAUCAGGAGGUUAGUGCAAUGGCAUAAGCCAGCUUGACUGCGAGCGUGACGGCGCGAGCAGGUGCGAAAGCAGGUCAUAGUGAUCCGGUGGUUCUGAAUGGAAGGGCCAUCGCUCAACGGAUAAAAGGUACUCCGGGGAUAACAGGCUGAUACCGCCCAAGAGUUCAUAUCGACGGCGGUGUUUGGCACCUCGAUGUCGGCUCAUCACAUCCUGGGGCUGAAGUAGGUCCCAAGGGUAUGGCUGUUCGCCAUUUAAAGUGGUACGCGAGCUGGGUUUAGAACGUCGUGAGACAGUUCGGUCCCUAUCUGCCGUGGGCGCUGGAGAACUGAGGGGGGCUGCUCCUAGUACGAGAGGACCGGAGUGGACGCAUCACUGGUGUUCGGGUUGUCAUGCCAAUGGCACUGCCCGGUAGCUAAAUGCGGAAGAGAUAAGUGCUGAAAGCAUCUAAGCACGAAACUUGCCCCGAGAUGAGUUCUCCCUGACUCCUUGAGAGUCCUGAAGGAACGUUGAAGACGACGACGUUGAUAGGCCGGGUGUGUAAGCGCAGCGAUGCGUUGAGCUAACCGGUACUAAUGAACCGUGAGGCUUAACCUUACAACGCCGAAGCUGUU
RNAcentral lists this ribosomal RNA (914 nucleotides) under Escherichia coli. RNAcentral's name for it is "partial 23S ribosomal RNA". It matches the Rfam family "Bacterial large subunit ribosomal RNA", at positions 2034 to 2925 of the family's 2925-position model. The record is from RNAcentral. Lineage: Bacteria; Pseudomonadati; Pseudomonadota; Gammaproteobacteria; Enterobacterales; Enterobacteriaceae.